RNAcentral lists this ribosomal RNA (590 nucleotides) under uncultured bacterium. RNAcentral's name for it is "partial 16S ribosomal RNA". It matches the Rfam family "Bacterial small subunit ribosomal RNA", at positions 355 to 1376 of the family's 1533-position model. The record is from RNAcentral.
UGGGGAAUAUUGGACAAUGGGCGCAAGCCUGAUCCAGCAAUGCCGCGUGUGUGAAGAAGGCCUUCGGGUUGUAAAGCACUUUUAUCAGGAGCGAAACGCUGUCGGCUAAUACCCGGCGGAACUGACGGUACCUGAGGAAUAAGCACCGGCUAACUUCGUGCCAGCAGCCGCGGUAAUACGAAGGGUGCAAGCGUUAAUCGGAAUUACUGGGCGUAAAGCGUGCGUAGGCGGUUUCUUAAGUCUGCUGUGAAAUCCCCGGGCUCAACCUGGGAAUGGCAGUGGAUACUGGGAGGCUAGAGUGUGUCAGAGGGUGGUGGAAUUCCCGGUGUAGCGGUGAAAUGCGUAGAGAUCGGGAGGAACAUCAGUGGCGAAGGCGGCCACCUGGGACAACACUGACGCUGAGGCACGAAAGCGUGGGGAGCAAACAGGAUUAGAUACCCUGGUAGUCCACGCCCUAAAACGAUGCGAACUGGAUGUUGGUCUCAACUCGGAGAUCAGUGUCGAAGUUAACGCGUUAAAGUUCGCCGCCUGGGGAGUACGGUCGCAAGACUGAAACUCAAAGGAAUUGACGGGGUCAUAGCUGUUUCCUG